CUCUACAUUCCACUGUCUUUACAUUUUCUCUAUCCUAUCAAUUAUUUCUUUCACAAUCUCAAAAUACUAACCGAACUAAAUUUUGGUGUUUGUGAGUUUAUGGUAGAAGGAAUAUUAUCGAUGUUUAGUCAAUGAUGCUUCUGCAGUAGAGAAGACUAGCAGAAGAGGAUGCUGCUAUUGUAGUAGAUACCAGAUUUAAGUUAAGGAUUUUGGCCCAGAACUAUCCUGAUACGCCAGGUUUUUUACUAUGGUCACUCCAUAUAUGGUAAUAUAUUGAAUUUCAACGUUGGUGCUUUACUUGUUUUGGACAUCCCACGUUGUUUUUGGAGUCGCUUCGCUGAGAAAUAUGGGAAAAUUUUUUAUUGGAAAGAAAAGGAAUCUGGUAAGUACAAACUGGGAGAUCCGAGAAAAUUCCAUUUACCUUAAUCAAUCAAAUUGCAUUGAGCUGGAUGGGUUGGAUGAUUCUAAGUUGCAACUAAGAGAGCUAUGGAGGUUGUUGUUGGGAUCAGCAGAUGAGCAGGUACCCCUCAGUAACAUUCCCAUUGAAGAGUGUGUGUAUGUUUCUUCUUUUUUCUUUUUAUAGUAGCUGCAGUACUUCAUUUAGGAAACAUUGAGUUUAUUGAGGGAGCGGAAGAUGAGUUGGAUGAAAAGUCCAUUUACCACCUAAAAACAGCCGCAGAGCUUUUGAUGUAAGUGAAGUCGC
This is a long non-coding RNA of Vigna angularis (adzuki bean), 703 nucleotides long. RefSeq lists it as uncharacterized. The transcript is spliced from 3 exons. Lineage: Eukaryota; Viridiplantae; Streptophyta; Magnoliopsida; Fabales; Fabaceae. The record is from RefSeq and is a predicted model, not a curated record.